Molecule: ribosomal RNA, 455 nt
Filed under: uncultured soil bacterium
Lineage: Bacteria
Description: bacterial SSU rRNA
Rfam family: Bacterial small subunit ribosomal RNA
Source: RNAcentral
AGGAUGAACGCUGGCGGCGUGCCUAAUACAUGCAAGUCGAGCGGUAAGGCCCCUUCGGGGGUACACGAGCGGCGGACGGCUGAGUAACGCGUAGGAACGUACCCCAAAGUGAGGGAUAAGCACCAGAAAUGGUGUCUAAUACCGCAUGUGGUCUAAGGAUUAAAGCUUCGGCGCUUUGGGAACGGCCUGCGUAUGAUUAGUUUGUUGGUGAGGUAAUGGCUCACCAAGACUACGAUCAUUAGCUGGUCUGAGAGGAUGAUCAGCCAGACUGGGACUGAGAACGGCCCAGACUCCUACGGGAGGCAGCAGUAGGGAAUUUCCACAAUGGGCGAAAGCCUGAUGGAGCAACGCCGCGUGCAGGAUGAAGGGCUUCGGUUCGUAAACUGCUUUUUAUAUGUGACGAUUAUGACGGUAGCAUAUGAAUAAGGAUCGGCUAAUUCCGUGCCAGCAGCCGC